RNAcentral lists this unclassified non-coding RNA (303 nucleotides) under Hevea brasiliensis (rubber tree). Lineage: Eukaryota; Viridiplantae; Streptophyta; Magnoliopsida; Malpighiales; Euphorbiaceae. The record is from RNAcentral.
CCCAGGCCGGUGUCGAAACGGUCUUGAUCGCACGCCGCUCGCCCUAUGCCGACAACCGGACCACGGCCAUGCUCGGCGGCUCGGUGGAUUUCCUGCAAUCGCUGGAUGUCUGGCGGCGCUGUGCCGAUGACGCGGCUGCACUGUGCACGAUGCGGCUGGGGGGGGNCGCGCCGCCUGAUCCGCUCGCCUGAAGUCAAAUUCUCGUCGGACGAGAUCGGCAUGGAGGCGUUCGGCUACAACAUCGAGAACCGUCUGCUGAUGGUCGCGAUGGAAGCGCGCGCGGCCGAGUUACCGAAUCUUGUG